Molecule: ribosomal RNA, 468 nt
Filed under: uncultured bacterium
Lineage: Bacteria
Description: partial 16S ribosomal RNA
Rfam family: Bacterial small subunit ribosomal RNA
Source: RNAcentral
GGCGAACGCUGGCGGCGUGCUUAACACAUGCAAGUCGAACGGAAAGGCCCUGCUUUUGUGGGGUGCUCGAGUGGCGAACGGGUGAGUAACACGUGAGUAACCUGCCCUUGACUUUGGGAUAACUUCAGGAAACUGGGGCUAAUACCGGAUAGGAGCUCCUGCUGCAUGGUGGGGGUUGGAAAGUUUCGGCGGUUGGGGAUGGACUCGCGGCUCAUCAGCUUGUUGGUGGGGUAGUGGCUUACCAAGGCUUUGACGGGUAGCCGGCCUGAGAGGGUGACCGGCCACAUUGGGACUGAGAUACGGCCCAGACUCCUACGGGAGGCAGCAGUGGGGAAUAUUGCACAAUGGGCGGAAGCCUGAUGCAGCAACGCCGCGUGCGGGAUGACGGCCUUCGGGUUGUAAACCGCUUUCGCCUGUGACGAAGCGUGAGUGACGGUAAUGGGUAAAGAAGCACCGGCUAACUACGUG